Molecule: microRNA precursor, 63 nt
Filed under: Caenorhabditis elegans
Lineage: Eukaryota; Metazoa; Nematoda; Chromadorea; Rhabditida; Rhabditidae
Description: Cel-Mir-52-P2_pre stem-loop
Rfam family: mir-52 microRNA precursor family
Source: RNAcentral
CACCCGUACAUUUGUUUCCGUGCUUGACUUCAAAGCUCAAUCACGGCACAAUAUAUGGGUCGC